Molecule: ribosomal RNA, 566 nt
Filed under: Eriocheir japonica (Japanese mitten crab)
Lineage: Eukaryota; Metazoa; Arthropoda; Malacostraca; Decapoda; Varunidae
Description: partial 16S ribosomal RNA
Rfam family: Bacterial large subunit ribosomal RNA
Source: RNAcentral
CGCCUGUUUAUCAAAGACAUGUCUGUUUGAAGUUAUAAAAAGUUUAACCUGCCCACUGAUUAAUAGUAUUAAAUGGCCGCGGUAUUUUGACCGUGCAAAGGUAGCAUAAUCGUUAGUUUUUUAAUUGGAAUCUUGUAUGAAUGGUUGGACAAAAGAAGAUCUGUCUUUGUAUUGCUUAUUGAAUUUUACUUUUAAGUGAAAAGGCUUAAAUGUAUUAAAGGGACGAUAAGACCCUAUAAAGCUUAAUAUUAAAUUUUAUAUAGUCAAAUUUUAAAUUAUAAAGAUUUUGUAAAUUGAAUUUAUUUUAUUGGGGCGAUAAGAGUAAAAUGAUUAUUAACUGCUUAACAUUAAGUACACUUAUAUGUGAUUAAAAUUUUAAAUGAUCCUAAUUAAAGAUUAAAAGUUUAAGUUACUUUAGGGAUAACAGCGUUAUUUUUCUUAAGAGUACUUAUCGAAAGAAAAGUUUGCGACCUCGAUGUUGAAUUAAAAUAUCUUUAUAAUUGCAGCAGUUAUAUAAGUAGGUCUGUUCGACCUUUAAAAUUUUACAUGAUCUCAGUUCAGACCGG